RNAcentral lists this small RNA (73 nucleotides) under Sphingomonas faeni. RNAcentral's name for it is "suhB". It matches the Rfam family "Makes More Granules Regulator RNA (mmgR)". Rfam says of the family: SuhB later renamed mmgR (makes more granules regulator) was a putative non-coding RNA found multiple times in the Agrobacterium tumefaciens genome and related alpha-proteobacteria. Other non-coding RNAs uncovered in the same analysis include: speF, ybhL, metA, and serC. Lineage: Bacteria; Pseudomonadati; Pseudomonadota; Alphaproteobacteria; Sphingomonadales; Sphingomonadaceae. The record is from RNAcentral.
AGGUGACGCCUUUCAGGCAUCCUCUCCUAAAAACUUCCCGGGUCGCUUUUGGCGGCCCCUUUUUUUGCCCGGA